Aegilops tauschii subsp. strangulata is the source of this 904-nucleotide non-coding RNA. The record is from RefSeq and is a predicted model, not a curated record. Lineage: Eukaryota; Viridiplantae; Streptophyta; Magnoliopsida; Poales; Poaceae.
UUAGGAUUGUUAUGCUAUAAAAUUUACUCAUUGAGUUAACAGAGCAUAUGUUCUGUUUGUUACUUGUGAUUAAGUUGCUAAUAUGACACUUGUCUGAAUUUCUUAAUCAUGUCAAGCUGGACAACAUGCAAUGCCAAUAUUUUGCAUGAGAGAGGACUGAUAUUGUAAACUGGAUAGUAUGAGGCUAUGAGCUGACAAUUAAACUCCUAGAAUUCAAUAAUCACAGUGCUAACUGCUAAGUUAUUUCAUAACAUUCAUGUCAGUAUCUUCGCUUGUCCUGUGGGUAUAUUUGGUCAGCUAUGCACUAAGGAUCUUCAACAUCAAUAUUUGCAAACUUUUCCCCACCUCAUGCGUGGUACUUUCUCCUAGUUUAGUUGGCACAUGUCCAUUUUUUCCCCGUACUUCAUUUCUGAAUUGUUGAGCUGUUUGUAGACAGAGAAUCCAUUCUUCUCUCGUGUUUUUUGUUUUAAUCAGUGGCUCUUCUGCUUACUUCUUUGCGGCCUUUUCAGGCUCUCCCUAUAUUCCUUGACAGGAUUUUCAAUCCUGUUCUUGCAAUUAUAUUGUCAGUGACAUUUGUUCUUGCCUUUGGGGAGGUUAUACCUCAAGCAAUAUGUACCAGGUAUGGGCUGGCAGUGGGUGCUAGCUUUGUUUGGCUCGUACGCAUCGUCAUGUUCAUUGCCUAUCCUAUUGCUUACCCUAUUGGGAAGGUAAAUCAGCAAAGUCACAUUACUCAAUAGAAAAGUGUUAAUUUGUACUGUAUCAUAAUCGUUUGAAGCUUAUCCAGUGGCCUAGAUUUUGAAUUCCAAUGAAUUAGACUAUUAUUAUGAGGCCUGGGCUCACUGCUCUUUGGUGCCAUUGUUGAUGGACAAGGUCAUGAAGUGAUAUUUUGGUUACACUUCUCUAA